CAGCACCUCAAGUGGUCAGGAUGAUUAUUGGGCCUAAAGCAUCCGUAGCUUGCUUUGUUAGUUUUCGGUUAAAUCCAUACGCUCAACGUAUGGGCUGCCGGGAAUACUACAAGGCUAGGGAGUGGGAGAGGUAGACGGUACUCGGUAGGAAGGGGUAAAAUCCUUUGAUCUAUUGAUGACCACCUGUGGCGAAGGCGGUCUACCAGAACACGUCCGACGGUGAGGGAUGAAAGCUGGGGGAGCAAACCGGAUUAGAUACCCGAGUAGUCC
Molecule: ribosomal RNA, 270 nt
Filed under: uncultured archaeon
Lineage: Archaea
Description: partial 16S ribosomal RNA
Rfam family: Archaeal small subunit ribosomal RNA
Source: RNAcentral